AAAAUAAUAUAAAUAGAAGUAACUCUUUCAUUGCAGCUCAUUUUAUCAUAGAUUGUAGCAUAAUUCCACAUUGUAAAAAUGCCAUCUAUCAAAAUUCAAACAGGGUUUCUGAUUGGUAUUGUCGUAUGCUUACUUUCUGCUAAUCUGUCGUCGGCUGGUUUAUCUUUGAGCGUAGAUAAUGUUUCACAUGAUUUAGGACUAACAUCAGGUGGUGGUG
Molecule: non-coding RNA, 217 nt
Organism: Parasteatoda tepidariorum (common house spider)
Lineage: Eukaryota; Metazoa; Arthropoda; Arachnida; Araneae; Theridiidae
Source: RefSeq, a predicted model, not a curated record